Molecule: ribosomal RNA, 271 nt
Filed under: uncultured archaeon
Lineage: Archaea
Description: partial 16S ribosomal RNA
Rfam family: Archaeal small subunit ribosomal RNA
Source: RNAcentral
CAGCGCCACGAGUGGCAACCAUAUUUAUUGGGCCUAAAGCGUCCGUAGCCGGUUUAAUAAGUCUUCUGUGAAAUCGUUGGGCUCAACUUAACGCUGUGCAGAAGAUACUGUUGAACUUGGAACUGGGAGGAGUUAGAAGUAUUCUAGGGGGAGCGGUAAAAUGCUAUAAUCCCUAGAGGACUACCUAUGGCGAAGGCAUCUAACUAGAACAGAUUCGACGGUGAGGGACGAAAGCCAGGGGAGCAAAACGGAUUAGAUACCCGAGUAGUCC